This is a long non-coding RNA of Mustela erminea (ermine), 115 nucleotides long. RefSeq lists it as uncharacterized. Lineage: Eukaryota; Metazoa; Chordata; Mammalia; Carnivora; Mustelidae. The record is from RefSeq and is a predicted model, not a curated record. The transcript is spliced from 3 exons.
ACUGAGCCACCCAGGCGCCCCUUUAUGUAAUGUUUUAUAGGCGAGAUAAACACGACACCAGGUGAGGUAGGCACAAGGCAAGAUUUAUUAAAGGCACUCCCUGGUGAAAUUUCAG